CCUUUGGGGGUACUCGAGUGGCGAACGGGUGAGUAACACGUGAGUAACCUGCCCUUGACUUCGGGAUAACUUCAGGAAACUGGGGCUAAUACCGGAUAGGAAUCCUUGCUGCAUGGUGGGGGUUGGAAAGCUUCGGCGGUUUUGGAUGGACUCGCGGCUUAUCAGCUUGUUGGUGGGGUAGUGGCUUACCAAGGCUUUGACGGGUAGCCGGCCUGAGAGGGCGACCGGCCACAUUGGGACUGAGAUACGGCCCAG
Molecule: ribosomal RNA, 255 nt
Filed under: uncultured Actinomycetales bacterium
Lineage: Bacteria; Bacillati; Actinomycetota; Actinomycetes; Actinomycetales
Description: partial 16S ribosomal RNA
Rfam family: Bacterial small subunit ribosomal RNA
Source: RNAcentral